RNAcentral lists this ribosomal RNA (303 nucleotides) under uncultured bacterium. Its description in RNAcentral is "partial 16S ribosomal RNA". It matches the Rfam family "Bacterial small subunit ribosomal RNA", at positions 507 to 807 of the family's 1533-position model. The record is from RNAcentral.
AGCAGUCGCCGCGGGAAUACGAAGGGUGCAAGCGUUAAUCGGAAUUACUGGGCGUAAAGCGUGCGUAGGCGGUUUGUUAAGUCUGUUGUGAAAUCCCCGGGCUCAACCUGGGAAUGGCAAUGGAUACUGGCAAGCUAGAGUGUGUCAGAGGAUGGUGGAAUUCCCGGUGUAGCGGUGAAAUGCGUAGAGAUCGGGAGGAACAUCAGUGGCGAAGGCGGCCAUCUGGGACAACACUGACGCUGAGGCACGAAAGCGUGGGGAGCAAACAGGAUUAGAUACCCCCGUAGUCCCUGUCUCUUAUAC